RNAcentral lists this ribosomal RNA (468 nucleotides) under uncultured bacterium. RNAcentral's name for it is "partial 16S ribosomal RNA". It matches the Rfam family "Bacterial small subunit ribosomal RNA", at positions 28 to 507 of the family's 1533-position model. The record is from RNAcentral.
GACGAACGCUGGCGGCGUGCUUAACACAUGCAAGUCGAACGGAAAGGUCCUGCUUUUGUUGGGCGCUCGAGUGGCGCACGGGUGAGUAACACGUGAGUAACCUGCCCUUGACUUUGGGAUAACUCCAGGAAACUGGGGCUCAUACCGGGUAGGAGCUCCUGCUGCAUGGGGGGGGUUGGUGAGUUUCGGCGGUUGGGGAUGGUCUCGAGGCUUAUCGGCUUGAUGGUGUGGUAGGGGCUUACCAAGGCUGCGACGGGUAGCCGGCCUGAGAGGGUGAACGGCCACAUUGGGACUGAGAGACGGCCCAGACGCCAACGGGAGGCAGCAGUGGGGAAUAUUGCAGAAUGGGCGGAAGCCUGAUGCAGCAGCGCUGCGUGCGUGAUGACGGCCUUCGGGUUGUAAACCGAUUUCGACGGUGACGAAGCGUGAGUGACGGUAAUGGGUAAAGAAGCACCGGCUAACUACGUG